AUGCCCCUUACACGGAGCAGUGUGCUGCUAUCCGGGACCCCGCCUGUCCUUAAGGGGAGGUCACGCUCUGGGAUAAUCAGCUGCCUGAAGCCCAACCGCCAGCAGGGCCAACCAGUGCAGGGCUGGGGCUCGGAGCAGAGGUCCCGGGGCCGGGGAAGCGGGCAGAGAAGGCCCCGGGAAGCUAAGGAAGCUGGAGGCGCCCGGCUCAGUGGGAUCAAACCGGCUGCAGGGCCGCCACCUCCACACGGGGCUCGCGGAGCUGGGGGGGGGGGGGCAUUUCCAGAGAUCACCCCACACCGCCCCGCUCCGCGGCCCGGGAGAAAAGGAGGGCGCCGCAGCAAGGGCGCGGGGGCUGCUCCCGCGGGCCGAGCUCCUCCCCCAAAUGGGUCCCACGCAGCUCUCCCCGCUCCCGAAGGCUUCGGAGCCAGGAGGGGAGGCCGCGGCGAGCCCCCCGCCCAGCGCACCGCUCGCUCGUCCGGGUCCGGCGGGCGGACUCCCCCGCAGCACGCGCGCCGCGGCCCGGCCGGGGCGGGGGGCGACCGAGCCGGCUGGGCCUUCCCCGCGGCUGCCGGCGUCUCUCGCCUCCUCCCGGAGCCUCCCCGGCAGCCGGGCCCGACCGCGGGCGGCGGAGGAAGCGGACGGCGACCCGAGCCGGGAGCCGCGGCGAGCAGGCCCCGGGGCGGAGACUUCUGCGGCCGCGGGCCUCCGUCCGGGCGGGCCCCGCCGCUCCGACCGCCCCCUGCAGGCUCCCGGCGCCAGCGCCAGCGCCAGCGCCCGCCGCUCACCUCCCCGGCGGGCGGGGCUCGCCGCUCGCUCGGCCCAUUGCGCGGAUGGACGCCUCGUGGCCCGAGACGCCUGGCGCAGGCUGACCCAAGGGGGAGGCGGAAGGGCCCGAACGGGAAGCCCCGCCUGGGUCUUCCUGCCUCGCACCCCCGCCCGCCGCGGCCGCUGCGGAGGCACCUACCCGUCCCCAGGGCAUUCUUCCCUCCGUGCCUCUCCACCCCCUCAGCCUACCUCCUGGCAGAGAUCUGA
This 1032-nucleotide long non-coding RNA is filed under the name Canis lupus familiaris (dog). RNAcentral describes it as "lncRNA (ENSCAFG00040020214.1)". The record is from RNAcentral. Lineage: Eukaryota; Metazoa; Chordata; Mammalia; Carnivora; Canidae.